Molecule: unclassified non-coding RNA, 176 nt
Rfam family: Eukaryotic small subunit ribosomal RNA (bases 1-46)
AAGUCGUAACAAGGUUUCCGUAGGUGAACCUGCGGAAGGAUCAUUAAUAAUGUGAUUUAGCAAAACCGUAAGGUUUUGCGAAACUUGUAUUUAAAACCCUUCACACUUGUAAAAACAAUAUUUUUAUUAUAAAAAAAUAAAAAAGAUCACUUUCAACAACGGAUCUCUUGGCUCUC